UACGUAGGGUGCAAGCGUUGUCCGGAAUUAUUGGGCGUAAAGAGCUUGUAGGCGGUUUAUCGCGUCUGCCGUGAAAAUCCGGGGCUCAACCCCGGACUUGCGGUGGGUACGGGCAGACUAGAGUGUGGUAGGGGAGACUGGAAUUCCUGGUGUAGCGGUGAAAUGCGCAGAUAUCAGGAGGAACACCGAUGGCGAAGGCAGGUCUCUGGGCCACUACUGACGCUGAGAAGCGAAAGCGUGGGGAGCGAACAGG
RNAcentral lists this ribosomal RNA (253 nucleotides) under uncultured bacterium. RNAcentral describes it as "partial 16S ribosomal RNA". It matches the Rfam family "Bacterial small subunit ribosomal RNA", at positions 524 to 776 of the family's 1533-position model. The record is from RNAcentral.